Molecule: unclassified non-coding RNA, 253 nt
Filed under: uncultured Phycisphaeraceae bacterium
Lineage: Bacteria; Pseudomonadati; Planctomycetota; Phycisphaerae; Phycisphaerales; Phycisphaeraceae
Description: contains 16S-23S intergenic spacer region
Rfam family: Bacterial small subunit ribosomal RNA
Source: RNAcentral
UACGAAGGGCCCGAGCGUUGCGCGGAAUCACUGGGCUUAAAGCGUACGCAGGCGGACACGCAGGCGUCUUGUGAAAGCCCUCGGCUCAACCGAGGAACUGCAGGGCGAACCGUGUGUCUUGAGGCGGGUAGAGGCUGUCGGAACGAUAGGUGGAGUGGUGAAAUGCGUUGAUAUCUAUCGGAACGCCGAAGGUGAAAACAGGCAGCUGGGCCCGUCCUGACGCUGAGGUACGAAAGCGUGGGGAGCGAACGGG